This 281-nucleotide long non-coding RNA is filed under the name Elaeis guineensis (African oil palm). RNAcentral's name for it is "long non-coding RNA (EGUI_LNC014678)". The record is from RNAcentral. Lineage: Eukaryota; Viridiplantae; Streptophyta; Magnoliopsida; Arecales; Arecaceae.
CCAAAUAAUUUUUAUUAAUUCAUAAUUUAUAUAAUAAUUAUAAAGAGUACAAUCAUCCAAAUGAUUGAUUUUAGGAUAUAUUUUCUAACACACACUACAUAUAUAGACUGAUAGGAACAUCUCAGAUUAUCUCAAGUAGCAGUACAUUCAAAAUUUAUAUUGAAUUGAGAUGAUGUCAAGCAUAUCGAGGAUAUCAGUGUCAGCACUCAUGCUACAGUAGAUGAUGAUGAUGAGACUCCUUCAGCAAAACUCAUUAUAGUAGAUAUCAGGAUUAAGGAGCC